This 801-nucleotide ribosomal RNA is filed under the name uncultured bacterium. RNAcentral's name for it is "bacterial SSU rRNA". It matches the Rfam family "Bacterial small subunit ribosomal RNA", at positions 66 to 864 of the family's 1533-position model. The record is from RNAcentral.
GCGAGAAGACGUAGCAAUACGUUUGUAAAGCGGCGAACGGGUGAGGAAUACAUGGGUAACCUACCCUCGAGUGGGGAAUAACUAACCGAAAGGUUAGCUAAUACCGCAUACGACUCCUGGUCUGCGGAUCGGGAGAGAAAGCGAUGCCGUGGGUAUCGCGCUCUUGGAUGGGCUCAUGUCCUAUCAGCUAGUUGGUGAGGUAAUGGCUCACCAAGGCUUCGACGGGUAGCUGGUCUGAGAGGACGAUCAGCCACACUGGCACUGCGACACGGGCCAGACUCCUACGGGAGGCAGCAGUAAGGAAUAUUGCGCAAUGGGCGAAAGCCUGACGCAGCGACGCCGCGUGGGGGAUGAAGGUCUUCGGAUUGUAAACCCCUUUCGGCAGGGAAGAUGGAGCGGGCAACCGCUCGGACGGUACCUGCAGAAGCAGCCACGGCUAACUUCGUGCCAGCAGCCGCGGUAAUACGAAGGUGGCAAGCGUUGUUCGGAUUUACUGGGCGUACAGGGAGCGUAGGCGGUUGGGUAAGCCCUUCGUGAAAUCUCCGGGCCUAACCCGGAAAGUGCGGGGGGGACUGCUUAGCUAGAGGAUGGGAGAGGAGCGCGGAAUUCCCGGUGUAGCGGUGAAAUGCGUAGAGAUCGGGGGGAAGGCCGGUGGCGAAGGCGGCGCUCUGGAACAUUUCUGACGCUGAGGCUCGAAAGCGUGGGGAGCAAACAGGAUUAGAUACCCUGGUAGUCCACGCCUUAAACGAUGAAUACUAAGUGUCGGCGGGUUACCGCCGGUGCCGCAGCUAACGCAGUAAG